AACCCAGGCCCUGCAGAGCCCGGUGGCGCUCCUCCACCCCCAACACAGACGGAGGAAUAGCCCUACAGAUGGGACAAUUCCUUUAACGUGAGUAACACUCCUUAUGGAGCAAUGGUGGGAGCUUUUGCCACCUGAAUGUCUUCAGGGUGGAGAUUCAGGGCACUGGGUGAAGUCUCCUGCCCCCUGAGAUAUGGGGCUGCCCCGAGACCUGUCAGGAACCUCCCAAGCUCUGUGCCAAACUGCCUGAGCACAAAAUGGCCCCUGAGCAAACUUGUUCUGGCAGGUGUGUGAGGGCCAGUCUCUUUUCUUCCUGGGAGGAAGAGAGCCCUCAGGUCACCUCUCAGAAAGCCAGGACACCACCACCCCCAUCCCCAGCACUUCAUUUGAUAUCAAGGGGGUGAACCUCUGGGGAGGGGAGGAGAUUUUUCUUCCCUCACAGGAAUCCUCGAAGCCUCCUUCUAAAGUUUCUGGCCUGAGGAUUAUUUCUAAACUGGCACCAACUCAACACUAAGGCUACUUUUCUAAGGUGCAAAUGCUUUACUUCAGGAGGCACGCGUGACUUUUGUCGAAGACUCAUGACCUGGGUGGAGUCCCCCCGGACGCUCCCUGUCUGAGGCAGAGUUCCAGCUUCAAGGCAACCUUCAAAUAUUCAAAGUCACGUUGCCCCCCACCAAGAGUCCAGCCUUCAUCAGCGGGUCCUUGUAUGUGGCAGACGUGCGCUCACGUACAGUGGACAGAGUGUCUCCCUCAGGCUGGCUCUGGAAGGUCAUGACGUCUGUUGGUCAGAAGGUGGAAGGCCUGUCCUCCUGUCAGUUAUGCUUCCAACGUCCCUCCUCAGCAAUGGCCCUAUUGCACGGAACAUCCAGAGUCCACUGCUCUGUAAGCUUAGCCAGAGGAGAAGUGAUGAAGCAAGCAACCCAGCUCUCUUCUCUCAACCAAACCUGAGGAAGUGUUCUAUCCAUGGAGACAGCACCCUACUGUCGCCCCCAUUCAGCUUCCACAUUCUUCGGUGUGGUUCUGAGACGUGGCAGGCAAAGCUGCCUCUGUGGCUAGAACUCCCCCAUCAGACAACCGUGGUACACCUGAAGUUUAGGACCAUCUGCCUGGGACCCUGUGGAGGGGACUUCCUUUGUCAGUCGAGACCCUCGCUGGACAUGGGCGAGAAGAAGCACAUGAGUCUGUGGGGCCCACAUAUGCCCACCAGGUCCUCUAAGGUCUUGGUUGAUAGAGAGGCUUCCCGUUGGACUCCCAUAAGUGCAGAGAGUGCUCGAGUGCUAGUGAUCACGGCACCAUCCUGCAGUUGCUAGAGCAUUGACUUUAAAGCAACCCCCCAGUGUAUAAAGACUGAUGCCAAACAAGACACAUAUUUCAGAGAGCUCCAUCCAAGAAGGCACAACGGAAUCGCAUCCAAUAAUCAACAAACCCCCAUUAUCUUAGAUUUCCCCAAGGAAGUGUCUGUCUGACUGACACAAGAUGUUCUCUUUCAGCGUGAGCGAGAGAGACUCUAUUCUGCUCAAAUAAAACAGUUGCCUUGUUGAAUCUCUUUAAAUUG
Long non-coding RNA from Vulpes vulpes (red fox), 1552 nucleotides. Lineage: Eukaryota; Metazoa; Chordata; Mammalia; Carnivora; Canidae. The record is from Ensembl.